RNAcentral lists this long non-coding RNA (748 nucleotides) under Ananas comosus (pineapple). Its description in RNAcentral is "long non-coding RNA (ACOM_LNC010993)". Lineage: Eukaryota; Viridiplantae; Streptophyta; Magnoliopsida; Poales; Bromeliaceae. The record is from RNAcentral.
AAAAUCCCAACCAAAAUAAAAGUAUUCAUCUGGAUUCUACUUCGUAAGAGACUACUUACGGCCGAUAGAUUAAUCCGCCGAGGGUGCCCGGUGAAUCCGUACUGUAUUUUCUGUGCAGUCGCAUUGGAGGACUGUGACCAUCUUUUUUGGGAAUGUGUCUUCGUCAGAUAUCUCCUUCUGUUGGCGGGGAGUUCGAUUACUUGGGAGCCUGACAUUUGCGAUGUCAGGAGCUUAUGGUCGCGGACAGCUAAUUUCCCCAUUGCUCGGCCCAGAACGAUAAGCCUCACACGUCUGGCGGCGAUCUGGUGGGUCGUCUGGACAGAGCGCAACAAUAUUAUAUUCCGGGAUGUGGCUACGAACGCUGAUCGAGUUGUGGAACGGGUCGAUUCGUUGAGGAAAGACUGGACUGAAGCGCUUGAUCGGUGAACGCGCAAGCAGCCGAGAUAUCGACUUCAGGAAUACUCGCUUUCUACCUUGCCUUUUUUUGGGUUACUCUUCUGUACUAUCCGUUGGUGUGGUUUUUUGUUUUUCAUUCUUCUCGGUCCUUUGUUUUGUUCGUUUUCUUUCUAGAUUCCUCGCUCGCUUAGGAGGCCUUAGUUGCCUUCAUUUUGUACGCUAAAUUCAUUUUCCUUAAUGAAUGAAGCAGGUAGCUUGCUACCUAUUUUCUCAAAAAAAAAAAAAUAAAUAAAUUUCCAACAACUACUUCUUAUAAAUUAAACAAUACUAAUUUUUAUACAAUUAAUUUUAU